Molecule: ribosomal RNA, 492 nt
Filed under: uncultured bacterium
Lineage: Bacteria
Description: partial 16S ribosomal RNA
Rfam family: Bacterial small subunit ribosomal RNA
Source: RNAcentral
AGUGAACGCUGGCGGUAGGCCUAACACAUGCAAGUCGAACGGCAGCACAGUAAGAGCUUGCUCGUACGGGUGGCGAGUGGCGGACGGGUGAGGAAUACAUCGGAAUCUACUUUUUCGUGGGGGAUAACGUAGGGAAACUUACGCUAAUACCGCAUACGACCUACGGGUGAAAGCAGGGGAUCUUCGGACCUUGCGCGAUUGAAUGAGCCGAUGUCGGAUUAGCUAGUUGGCGGGGUAAAGGCCCACCAAGGCGACGAUCCGUAGCUGGUCUGAGAGGAUGAUCAGCCACACUGGAACUGAGACACGGUCCAGACUCCUACGGGAGGCAGCAGUGGGGAAUAUUGGACAAUGGGCGCAAGCCUGAUCCAGCCAUACCGCGUGGGUGAAGAAGGCCUUCGGGUUGUAGAGCCCUUUUGUUGGGAAAGAAAAGCAGCAGGUUAAUACCCCGCUGUUCUGACGGUACCCAAAGAAUAAGCACCGGCUAACUUCGUG